AGUGAACGCUGGCGGUAUGCCUAACACAUGCAAGUCGAACGGCAGCACAUUAAUAGCUUGCUCUUACGGGUGGCGAGUGGCGGACGGGUGAUGAAUACAUCGGCAUCUACUUUUUCGUGGGGGAUAACGUCGGGAACCUUACGCUAAUACCGCAUACGACCUACGGGUGAAAGCAGGGGAUCUUCGGACCUUGCGCGAUUGAAUGAGCCGAUGUCGGAUUAGCUAGUUGGCGGGGUAAAGGCCCACCAAGGCGACGAUCCGUAGCUGGUCUGAGAGGAUGAUCAGCCACACUGGAAGUGAGACACGGUCCAGACUCCUACGGGAGGCAGCAGUGGGGACUAUUGGACAAUGGGCGCAAGCCUGCUCCAGCCAUACCGCGUGGGUGCAGAAGGCCUUCGGGUUGUAAAGCCCUUUUGUUGGGAAAGAAAAGCAGCAGGUUAAUACCCCGCUGUUCUGACGGUACCCAAAGAAUAAGCACCGGCUAACUUCGUG
This 492-nucleotide ribosomal RNA is filed under the name uncultured bacterium. Its description in RNAcentral is "partial 16S ribosomal RNA". It matches the Rfam family "Bacterial small subunit ribosomal RNA", at positions 29 to 507 of the family's 1533-position model. The record is from RNAcentral.